Molecule: long non-coding RNA, 408 nt
Filed under: Papio anubis (olive baboon)
Lineage: Eukaryota; Metazoa; Chordata; Mammalia; Primates; Cercopithecidae
Description: lncRNA (ENSPANG00000040794.1)
Source: RNAcentral
GCCCCGCGCUAUUUCACGUCAAGAUUUGGAGCUGCGGGAGCCGUCUGGUUGGCCUCAGCCCCUCCUUACGGAAUUGGCGUAAGGCAAAGAGGCGCGGCUGGAAGAACCAGACUGAGAAAGUGCCACAGGGCGGGGGCCGCAUCCGCCCCUCGGCUUGUAGCUACUGACCCGACGGCUUUGUGAGUGAAAGUGAGGAGACACUUCGAGAUAAAGAAGCUGAGACUCAGAAAGGUUAAGUGACUUUCCAAGAUCAUAUAGCUUAAAAGUGGCAAAAGGAAUGCUCAAACCCCAAUCGUCUGACUGCGAACUCUGGAUAGGAAUGGAGUAUUUGUUUUAUUGGAAAGGAGCAUCACUAGAACCAGAUGCAUGUGAUUCCUUGAAAUAUGGAGUCUUUUUGCUGUUUCUGCA